GGUUCAGGAUGAACGCUAGCUACAGGCUUAACACAUGCAAGUCGAGGGGCAGCAUGGUCUUAGCUUGCUAAGGCCGAUGGCGACCGGCGCACGGGUGAGUAACACGUAUCCAACCUGCCGUCUACUCUUGGACAGCCUUCUGAAAGGAAGAUUAAUACAAGAUGGCAUCAUGAGUCCGCAUGUUCACAUGAUUAAAGGUAUUCCGGUAGACGAUGGGGAUGCGUUCCAUUAGAUAGUAGGCGGGGUAACGGCCCACCUAGUCUUCGAUGGAUAGGGGUUCUGAGAGGAAGGUCCCCCACAUUGGAACUGAGACACGGUCCAAACUCCUACGGGAGGCAGCAGUGAGGAAUAUUGGUCAAUGGGCGAGAGCCUGAACCAGCCAAGUAGCGUGAAGGAUGACUGCCCUAUGGGUUGUAAACUUCUUUUAUAAAGGAAUAAAGUCGGGUAUGGAUACCCGUUUGCAUGUACUUUAUGAAUAAGGAUCGGCUAACUCCGUGCCAGCAGCCGCGGUAAUACGGAGGAUCCGAGCGUUAUCCGGAUUUAUUGGGUUUAAAGGGAGCGUAGAUGGAUGUUUAAGUCAGUUGUGAAAGUUUGCGGCUCAACCGUAAAAUUGCAGUUGAUACUGGAUAUCUUGAGUGCAGUUGAGGCAGGCGGAAUUCGUGGUGUAGCGGUGAAAUGCUUAGAUAUCACGAAGAACUCCGAUUGCGGAGGCAGCCUGCUAAGCUGCAACUGACAUUGAGGCUCGAAAGUGUGGGUAUCAAACAGGAUUAGAUACCCUGGUAGUCCACACGGUAAACGAUGAAUACUCGCUGUUUGCGAUAUACUGCAAGCGGCCAAGCGAAAGCGUUAAGUAUUCCACCUGGGGAGUACGCCGGCAACGGUGAAACUCAAAGGAAUUGACGGGGGCCCGCACAAGCGGAGGAACAUGUGGUUUAAUUCGAUGAUACGCGAGGAACCUUACCCGGGCUUAAAUUGCAGAUGAAUUACGGUGAAAGCCGUAAGCCGCAAGGCAUCUGUGAAGGUGCUGCAUGGUUGUCGUCAGCUCGUGCCGUGAGGUGUCGGCUUAAGUGUCAUAACGAGCGCAACCCUUGUUGUCAGUUACUAACAGGUUCCGCUGAGGACUCUGACAAGACUGCCAUCGUAAGAUGUGAGGAAGGUGGGGAUGACGUCAAAUCAGCACGGCCCUUACGUCCGGGGCUACACACGUGUUACAAUGGGGGGUACAGAGGGCCGCUACCACGCGAGUGGAUGCCAAUCCCCAAAACCUCUCUCAGUUCGGACUGGAGUCUGCAACCCGACUCCACGAAGCUGGAUUCGCUAGUAAUCGCGCAUCAGCCACGGCGCGGUGAAUACGUUCCCGGGCCUUGUACACACCGCCCGUCAAGCCAUGGAAGCCGGGGGUACAAGAAGUGCGUAACCGCGAGGAGCGCCCUAGGGUA
RNAcentral lists this ribosomal RNA (1439 nucleotides) under uncultured organism. RNAcentral describes it as "16S ribosomal RNA". It matches the Rfam family "Bacterial small subunit ribosomal RNA". The record is from RNAcentral.